CAGUUCCAAAUACAACUUACCUGUGAGCAGAGAGAGUAUUCGUUAACCCCUUUGAGCUUAAACAGUUGAAUCUCAGCUUGAAAUAAAGCGAGAUUUCAAAAAUCUUUUUCUUGAAACCCGGAAAAUUUUGAUAAUUGUUCUUUUGCCGUAAAAAGUCAAGAGCAUUCACUUAGGGUGAGUAAGAAAUAAGUUGGGGAGAACGAAAAUGAGAAUCGGUAAGUGCCACAACUCUUGAAAAACCGAGCAAGCAUAUAAAAAAAAUUAUUAGAAAUGAGAAACAUCUGUUUUGUAAAUAUGAUGUGAAAGAAAAGAAAAAAAUAGAGAAAAUAAAAAUGAAUGCUUGCUUGGAAGAAAAAUAGUGAAAAACAAAAAUUGAGUUGUGAAAUAAGAGUUGUGAAGGUUUCAAAUGAGAAAUAAAUGGAACGAAGUUGAGAUGUGUGAAUAAUGUACAGUGAAUGUCUCUUUUGCAUCGGCAAUUUCGUUUUCAAUGGCCUUAGAAAUGACCCUUGUUUGUUAACCUAACCAAGCUUCAACCGAAAAGCCCUUAGUGAUCUUCGUGCUUCCACAUUACCAUUUAUAAUUGUUAGACAUUGUAUGAAUUGAAUUGAUUUCUUC
Molecule: long non-coding RNA, 615 nt
Filed under: Lathyrus oleraceus (garden pea)
Lineage: Eukaryota; Viridiplantae; Streptophyta; Magnoliopsida; Fabales; Fabaceae
Description: Pisum sativum (pea) long non-coding RNA (PSAT_LNC041739)
Source: RNAcentral